AUCAGCAUAAGAACUCAUAUCUGUAAGAAUGACAAGAACAUGCUUCCCACAUUCGUAUGCUAGAUAUUCUGCAGUGGUCAGAGCAAUCCUGGGAGUAAUGAUGCGUUCUAUUGUAGGAUCAUUUGCCAGAUUUAAGAAAAGCGUCACUCUCUCCAUGGAUCCAUUUUCCUCAAAAUCGCGUUUGAAAAAUUGUGCGGUUUCCAUGUUGACUCCCAUAGCUGCAAAGACUAUGGCAAAAUUGUCCGCUUCACUGUCCUCAAGAAGAUUUUCAGAUUUCUCCAACCUCUUCACUAAACCAGCUUGUCGGCAGAUCUGAGCCGCAAUUUCAUUAUGAGGAAGACCAGCAGCAGAGAAAAGAGGAAUCUUCUGCCCUCUAGCAAUUGAAUUCAUGACGUCUACUGUGGAAAUUCCUGUUUGUAUCAUUUCUUCA
Molecule: unclassified non-coding RNA, 430 nt
Filed under: Hevea brasiliensis (rubber tree)
Lineage: Eukaryota; Viridiplantae; Streptophyta; Magnoliopsida; Malpighiales; Euphorbiaceae
Source: RNAcentral